AACGAACGCUGGCGGCAGGCUUAACACAUGCAAGUCGAACGCCCCGCAAGGGGAGUGGCAGACGGGUGAGUAACACGUGGGAACGUACCCUUUUCUACGGAAUAACCCAGGGAAACUUGGACUAAUACCGUAUGUGCCCUUCGGGGGAAAGAUUUAUCGGAAAAGGAUCGGCCCGCGUUGGGUUAGCUAGUUGGUGGGGUAAAGGCCUACCAAGGCGACGAUCCAUAGCUGGUCUGAGAGGAUGAUCAGCCACAUUGGGACUGAGACACGGCCCAAACUCCUACGGGAGGCAGCAGUGGGGAAUAUUGGACAAUGGGCGCAAGCCUGAUCCAGCCAUGCCGCGUGAGUGAUGAAGGCCUUAGGGUUGUAAAGCUCUUUCACCGGAGAAGAUAAUGACGGUAUCCGGAGAAGAAGCCCCGGCUAACUUCGUGCCAGCAGCCGCCGUAA
RNAcentral lists this ribosomal RNA (447 nucleotides) under uncultured bacterium. RNAcentral describes it as "partial 16S ribosomal RNA". It matches the Rfam family "Bacterial small subunit ribosomal RNA", at positions 29 to 523 of the family's 1533-position model. The record is from RNAcentral.